Molecule: long non-coding RNA, 1318 nt
Organism: Oncorhynchus keta (chum salmon)
Lineage: Eukaryota; Metazoa; Chordata; Actinopteri; Salmoniformes; Salmonidae
Exons: 3
Source: RefSeq, a predicted model, not a curated record
UUUUCUGACAACAUACAUGCAUUUAAGUUGAAGCUGACUUUGUGGGAGAUGCAAAUGGCAACCCUGCCCUGAUUUUAUCAGUAUCUACUACCAGGGUACCCCAAAUUAACAGCCCUGGCUGCUAAAAUUUUGUGCAUGUUUGGGACAACCUACCUUUGUGAACAAAUUUUCUCAGUGAUGAAUAUCAAUAAAACAAAAAAUGCGUUCAAGGCUCACAAACAAGCACUUAAAUGACAUUCUGAAAGUGACAGCUAGUCAGGACAUGACACCUGGUGUUGAUGCACUUGUACAGGCCAAAAGAUGCCAAGUUUCAGGUACAAAUACAAGUCCAGACUAGACUAACACCUUUAAAAUGCUGCCUUAGAUACUGUUUGCAUUGAAAGAAUACAGCUCUGUGAAGAUGAAUCCUUACUGUGGUGAUUUAAAAAUGUGCACUUUAAUGUUAGUCAGCAGCUUCAAAACAAAAGUUGUGUGAUGGAAUUCUACUGUUCAUACAACUCCAUACAUUUUCAGUAUGUAUUGUAUGUGUAUGUAUGUUUCAUGUAUGAAGUUUACAGAUUUACAGGACAGGCGAACACUUUCUUCAUUACACAUUUAAAAUCACUCUCCUUAGUUUGUAAGGUGUACGCAGGGAUUACAUUUAGAUUUUAUAUGCGUAUGUGUAAGUGGUUUAAAAAAUUCCUUUCUUUAAAAGUCUCAUUUAAUCUUAAAGUGCAUUACUAUAUUUUUCAGUACCAAUUAAAGUUUUGUGCCUUUGUACAAUCAGUGGGAUCAGUUGCAAUGCAUAUUUGUGAAUGAUAAAAGUAAAUUGCACAUUUGUCUAAGGAAAUAUGAGGUGUUUCAUGAAAUGUUUUGUAAAAGGAUAGUUCAUUAAAUUUCAAUAUUUUCCUAAUGUUCUUGUGCUUCUUUACACCAAAACAAAGGAAAGACAUGAUAUUUUGGUUAUUUAUAGCAGAGUAUGGUAUAAUUUUAAUGGUCCGGCCCACUUGACAUCUCCCUAGGCCGUAUGUGGCCCACGAUGCGAAAUGAGUUUGACACCCCUGGGUUAGAGGGUAGAGGUGGCAGGGUAGCCUAGUGGUUAGAGGGUAGAGGUGGCAGGGUAGCCUAGUGGUUAGAGGGUAGAGGUGGCAGGGUAGCCUAGUGGUUAGAGGGUAGAGGCGGCAGGGUAGCCUAGUGGUUAGAGGGUAGAGGCGGCAGGGUAGCCUAGUGGUUAGAGGGUAGAGGCGGCAGGGUAGCCUAGUGGUUAGAGGGUAGAGGCGGCAGGGUAGCCUAGUGGUUAGAGGGUAGAGGCGGCAGGGUAGCCUAGUGGUUAGAGCGU